CAUUAAGAAGCUAUGCCCAGCACUAGCCUUUUAAGCUAGAGACGGAGAUUCAACAAUCCCCUUAAUGA
RNAcentral lists this transfer RNA (68 nucleotides) under Loxopholis percarinatum. Its description in RNAcentral is "tRNA-Lys". It matches the Rfam family "tRNA". From Rfam's summary of the family: Transfer RNA (tRNA) molecules are approximately 80 nucleotides in length. Their secondary structure includes four short double-helical elements and three loops (D, anti-codon, and T loops). Lineage: Eukaryota; Metazoa; Chordata; Lepidosauria; Squamata; Gymnophthalmidae. The record is from RNAcentral.